UACGUAGGGGGCUAGCGUUGUCCGGAUUUAUUGGGGCGUAAAGAGCGCGUAGGCGGCCGAGUAAGUCCGACGUGAAAUCUGGAGGCUCAACCUCCAGCGGUCGUUGGAAACUACUCGGCUAGAGUCCGGAAGAGGAGAGUGGAAUUCCUGGUGUAGCGGUGAAAUGCGCAGAUAUCAGGAAGAACACCGAUGGCGAAAGCAGCUCUCUGGGACGGUACUGACGCUGAGGCGCGAAAGCGUGGGGAGCGAACAGG
This 254-nucleotide ribosomal RNA is filed under the name uncultured bacterium. RNAcentral's name for it is "partial 16S ribosomal RNA". It matches the Rfam family "Bacterial small subunit ribosomal RNA", at positions 524 to 776 of the family's 1533-position model. The record is from RNAcentral.